Molecule: long non-coding RNA, 250 nt
Filed under: Capsella rubella
Lineage: Eukaryota; Viridiplantae; Streptophyta; Magnoliopsida; Brassicales; Brassicaceae
Description: long non-coding RNA (CRUB_LNC001569)
Source: RNAcentral
AUUUAAGUUUGGGGGAGGGUUUGGGAUGACAUUUGAUGUUGUGUUCUCUUUUCUUAUUUUGAAUUUUUAGCAUAUAAUUUGCAUUCAUAUAUGUGCAUUGAAAACCCCUAAAAAUUUGAAAAAUUUUCAGAAAAAAUCUUUAAAAACAGAGUGAUCAUGUAGCUUGCAUUUGCAUAUUAGGAUUGAGUCUAGAUUGUUUCAUGUAGGACUGUUGCAUUAGCAUAGGGGGCGAUGAUGAGUUACACCGUGU